UUUCCGUAGGUGAACCUGCGGAAGGAUCAUUACAGUAGUCGCCCGGGUUGCCGCAAGGCCUCCCGGGUAACCUACCACCCUUUGUUUAUUACACUUUGUUGCUUUGGCAGGCCUGCCCUCGGGCUGCUGGCUCCGGCCGGCGAGCGCUUGCCAGAGGACCUAAACUCUGUUUGUCUAUACUGUCUGAGUACUAUAUAAUAGUUAAAACUUUCAACAACGGAUCUCUUGGUUCUGGCAUCGAUGAAGAACGCAGG
Molecule: unclassified non-coding RNA, 254 nt
Filed under: plant metagenome
Description: partial contains small subunit ribosomal RNA, internal transcribed spacer 1, and 5.8S ribosomal RNA
Rfam family: 5.8S ribosomal RNA (bases 206-254)
Source: RNAcentral